CAGAGACCUCGAGCGUUAUCCGGAAUCAUUGGGCGUAAAGCGUACCGAUAGGUGGUUAAGAAAGUCAGAUGUGAAAUCUCCGAGCUCAACUCGGAAUCUGUCAUUUGAAACUUCUUGACUAGAGGAGCAAAGAGGAAGCUGGAACGAACGGUGUAGUAGUGAAAUGCGUUGAUAUCGUUCGGAACACCAAUAGCGUAGGCAGGCUUCUGGGUGCUACCUGACACUGCUAGGACGAAAGCGUGGGGAGCGAAGGGGAUUAGAUACCCCCGUAGUCCACGCUGUAAACGAUGUACAUUAGGCGCUAGGGAGUAUCGACCCUCUUUAGUGCCAAAGCUAACGCGUUAAAUGUACCGCCUGGGGAGUACGGCCGCAAGGACUA
RNAcentral lists this ribosomal RNA (379 nucleotides) under uncultured organism. RNAcentral describes it as "bacterial SSU rRNA". It matches the Rfam family "Bacterial small subunit ribosomal RNA", at positions 526 to 897 of the family's 1533-position model. The record is from RNAcentral.